Molecule: ribosomal RNA, 600 nt
Filed under: Halomonas sp. YIM C247
Lineage: Bacteria; Pseudomonadati; Pseudomonadota; Gammaproteobacteria; Oceanospirillales; Halomonadaceae
Also listed under: 1 other name
Description: bacterial SSU rRNA
Rfam family: Bacterial small subunit ribosomal RNA
Source: RNAcentral
AACGCUGGCGGCAGGCCUAACACAUGCAAGUCGAGCGGUAACAGGCCCUUCGGGGCGCUGACGAGCGGCGGACGGGUGAGUACUGCAUAGGAAUCUACCCGGUAGUGGGGGAUAACCUGGGGAAACUCAGGCUAAUACCGCAUACGUCCUACGGGAGAAAGCAGGGGCCUUUUGGCCUUGCGCUAUCGGAUGAGCCUAUGCCGGAUUAGCUGGUUGGUGAGGUAAUGGCUCACCAAGGCGACGAUCCGUAGCUGGUCUGAGAGGAUGAUCAGCCACAUCGGGACUGAGACACGGCCCGAACUCCUACGGGAGGCAGCAGUGGGGAAUAUUGGACAAUGGGGGCAACCCUGAUCCAGCCAUGCCGCGUGUGUGAAGAAGGCCUUCGGGUUGUAAAGCACUUUCAGCGAGGAAGAACGCCUGGCGGUUAAUACCCGCCAGGAAAGACAUCACUCGCAGAAGAAGCACCGGCUAACUCCGUGCCAGCAGCCGCGGUAAUACGGAGGGUGCGAGCGUUAAUCGGAAUUACUGGGCGUAAAGCGCGCGUAGGCGGCGUGAUAAGCCGGUUGUGAAAGCCCUGGGCUCAACCUGGGAACUGCAUCC